CGUAGGCAGCGAGCGUUGUUCGGAGUUACUGGGCGUAAAGCGUGCGUAGGCGGUUUUCCAAGUCUGGUGUGAAAUCUCCCGGCUCAACUGGGAGGGUGCGCUAGAAACUGGGAGGCUGGAGUACGGGAGAGGUAGGCGGAAUUCCUGGUGUAGCGGUGAAAUGCGUAGAUAUCAGGAGGAACACCGGUGGUGUAGACGGCCUGCUGGACCGUAACUGACGCUGAGGCACGAAAGCGUGGGGAGCAAACAGGAUUAGAUACCCUGGUAGUCCACGCCCUAAACGAUGCAUACUUGGUGUGGGCAGUUCAGUCUGUCUGUGCCGUAGCUAACGCGUUAAGUAUGCCGCCUGGGGAGUACGGUCGCAAGGCUG
RNAcentral lists this ribosomal RNA (370 nucleotides) under uncultured organism. Its description in RNAcentral is "bacterial SSU rRNA". It matches the Rfam family "Bacterial small subunit ribosomal RNA", at positions 526 to 896 of the family's 1533-position model. The record is from RNAcentral.